Molecule: transfer RNA, 110 nt
Filed under: Plectosphaerella plurivora
Lineage: Eukaryota; Fungi; Ascomycota; Sordariomycetes; Glomerellales; Plectosphaerellaceae
Description: Plectosporium sp. AC-2010b tRNA
Rfam family: tRNA
About the family: Transfer RNA (tRNA) molecules are approximately 80 nucleotides in length. Their secondary structure includes four short double-helical elements and three loops (D, anti-codon, and T loops). Further hydrogen bonds mediate the characteristic L-shaped molecular structure. tRNAs have two regions of fundamental functional importance: the anti-codon, which is responsible for specific mRNA codon recognition, and the 3' end, to which the tRNAs corresponding amino acid is attached (by aminoacyl-tRNA synthetases). tRNAs cope with the degeneracy of the genetic code in two manners: having more than one tRNA (with a specific anti-codon) for a particular amino acid; and 'wobble' base-pairing, i.e. permitting non-standard base-pairing at the 3rd anti-codon position.
Source: Rfam by way of RNAcentral
GGCGAGAUGGCCGAGUGGUCUAAGGCGCUAGUUUCAGGUUACUGAAAUCCGACCCCUUCGGGGAUCAUUACUAGUCUUCACAGGCGUGGGUUCGAAUCCCACUCUCGUCA